This 76-nucleotide transfer RNA is filed under the name Chloroflexota bacterium. Its description in RNAcentral is "tRNA-Lys". It matches the Rfam family "tRNA". From Rfam's summary of the family: Transfer RNA (tRNA) molecules are approximately 80 nucleotides in length. Lineage: Bacteria; Bacillati; Chloroflexota. RNAcentral also lists the same sequence under 3 other names. The record is from RNAcentral.
GGGCCGUUAGCUCAGUUGGCAGAGCACCUGACUUUUAAUCAGGGUGUCACAGGUUCGAGACCUGUACGGCCUACCA